RNAcentral lists this ribosomal RNA (497 nucleotides) under uncultured bacterium. RNAcentral's name for it is "partial 16S ribosomal RNA". It matches the Rfam family "Bacterial small subunit ribosomal RNA", at positions 28 to 507 of the family's 1533-position model. The record is from RNAcentral.
GAUGAACGCUGGCGGCGUGCCUAAUACAUGCAAGUCGAGCGAACAGAUAAGGAGCUUGCUCCUUUGACGUUAGCGGCGGACGGGUGAGUAACACGUGGAUAACCUACCUAUAAGACUGGGAUAACUUCGGGAAACCGGAGCUAAUACCGGAUAACAUAUUGAACCGCAUGGUUCAAUAGUGAAAGGCGGCUUUGCUGUCACUUAUAGAUGGAUCCGCGCCGUAUUAGCUAGUUGGUAAGGUAACGGCUUACCAAGGCAACGAUACGUAGCCGACCUGAGAGGGUGAUCGGCCACACUGGAACUGAGACACGGUCCAGACUCCUACGGGAGGCAGCAGUAGGGAAUCUUCCGCAAUGGGCGAAAGCCUGGCGGAGCAACGCCGCGUGAGUGAUGAAGGUCUUCGGAUCGUAAAACUCUGUUAUCAGGGAAGAACAAAUGUGUAAGUAACUGUGCACAUCUUGACGGUACCUGAUCAGAAAGCCACGGCUAACUACGUG